Molecule: ribosomal RNA, 385 nt
Filed under: Leptographium douglasii
Lineage: Eukaryota; Fungi; Ascomycota; Sordariomycetes; Ophiostomatales; Ophiostomataceae
Also listed under: 2 other names
Description: eukaryotic LSU rRNA
Rfam family: Eukaryotic large subunit ribosomal RNA
Source: RNAcentral
UUGACCUCGGAUCAGGUAGGACUACCCGCUGAACUUAAGCAUAUCAAUAAGCGGAGGAAAAGAAACCAACAGGGAUUGCCCCAGUAACGGCGAGUGAAGCGGCAACAGCUCAGAUUUGGAAUCUGGCCCCCAGGGCCCGAGUUGUAAUCUGGAGAGGAUGCUUCUGGCGCGGCGCCUUCCGAGUUCCCUGGAACGGGACGCCGGAGAGGGUGAGAGCCCCGUACGGUCGGACGCCCAGCCUUUGUGAAGCUCCUUCGACGAGUCGAGUAGUUUGGGAAUGCUGCUCAAAAUGGGAGGUAAAUUUCUUCUAAAGCUAAAUAUUGGCCAGAGACCGAUAGCGCACAAGUAGAGUGAUCGAAAGAUGAAAAGCACUUUGAAAAGAGGG